Molecule: ribosomal RNA, 253 nt
Filed under: uncultured bacterium
Lineage: Bacteria
Description: partial 16S ribosomal RNA
Rfam family: Bacterial small subunit ribosomal RNA
Source: RNAcentral
GACGAACCGUGCAAACGUUGUUCGGAAUCACUGGGCUUAAAGGGCGCGUAGGCGGGCAGUCAAGUCAGGGGUGAAAUCUUUCGGCUCAACCGGAAAAGUGCCUUUGAAACUGACUGUCUCGAGGGAGGUAGGGGCGUGCGGAACUUCCGGUGGAGCGGUGAAAUGCGUAGAUAUCGGAAGGAACGCCGGUGGCGAAAGCGACGGACUGGAUCUCUUCUGACGCUGAGGCGCGAAAGCCAGGGGAGCAAACGGG